AAACUCUAUUGGUGGAAAGUAGACUGGGCCAACUACCAUUCAAAGAAUUCUUGGAAUCAAGAGACCCCUAGAGUCAAAGCACCGAAUGCGACAUUGGCUAAGGAAUUAAAAAAUAUAUUGAACAUUGCACCAUUACUUUUUUGGUAGCAGCUAUCAUGACGGAAUGAGUUGCAUAAAAAUAAUGCAGCAAUUCCCACAUUUAGCAAGAUCUAACUGAGUGCUGUUCAGACAAGCAAGUGGC
RNAcentral lists this long non-coding RNA (241 nucleotides) under Elaeis guineensis (African oil palm). Its description in RNAcentral is "long non-coding RNA (EGUI_LNC006673)". The record is from RNAcentral. Lineage: Eukaryota; Viridiplantae; Streptophyta; Magnoliopsida; Arecales; Arecaceae.